GACAGAGGCCCCGAGCGUUAGGCGGAAUCACUGGGCUUAAAGCGUGUGUAGGCGGAUCGUUAAGUGUCUUGUGAAAUCCCACGGCUCACCCGUGGAACUGCUGGGCAUACUGGCGAUCUUGGGCCAUUCAGGGGCGACUGGAACAAGCGGUGGAGCGGUGAAAUGCGUAGAUAUCGCUUGGAACGCCAAAGGUGAAAACAGGUCGCUGGGGAUGCGCCGACGCUGAGACACGAAAGCCAGGGGAGCAAACGGG
This 253-nucleotide ribosomal RNA is filed under the name uncultured bacterium. Its description in RNAcentral is "partial 16S ribosomal RNA". It matches the Rfam family "Bacterial small subunit ribosomal RNA", at positions 524 to 776 of the family's 1533-position model. The record is from RNAcentral.